This 73-nucleotide transfer RNA is filed under the name Soboliphyme baturini. It matches the Rfam family "tRNA". From Rfam's summary of the family: Transfer RNA (tRNA) molecules are approximately 80 nucleotides in length. The record is from Rfam by way of RNAcentral. Lineage: Eukaryota; Metazoa; Nematoda; Enoplea; Dioctophymatida; Soboliphymatidae.
ACCAGGGUUGCUUAGUAGGUAGCGCGUUUGAUUUAAAACCGAAAGAUCCCGGGUUCGAGUCCCGGCAUGGGCC